UUUCUCGCUUCGGCAGCACAUAUACUAAAAUUGGAACGAUACAGAGAAGAUUAGCCUGGCCCCUGCGCAAGGAUGACGAGCAAAUUCGUGAAGCUUUUUCUCUCUCU
This 107-nucleotide small nuclear RNA is filed under the name Meriones unguiculatus (Mongolian gerbil). The record is from RNAcentral. Lineage: Eukaryota; Metazoa; Chordata; Mammalia; Rodentia; Muridae.